AGUUCUUCGAAUCCGUGCUGAGAUUUUGUCAGUCACCAACCCAUUAGGGCUGAUCAAACUUCCAAGGUAAGUGAAGUU
This 78-nucleotide microRNA precursor is filed under the name Schistosoma margrebowiei. RNAcentral's name for it is "mir-3492 microRNA precursor family". It matches the Rfam family "mir-3492 microRNA precursor family". The record is from Rfam by way of RNAcentral. Lineage: Eukaryota; Metazoa; Platyhelminthes; Trematoda; Strigeidida; Schistosomatidae.